Molecule: long non-coding RNA, 182 nt
Organism: Zingiber officinale
Lineage: Eukaryota; Viridiplantae; Streptophyta; Magnoliopsida; Zingiberales; Zingiberaceae
Exons: 3
Source: RefSeq, a predicted model, not a curated record
GAGUUCUUCCUCUCACUGAUUGGAAUAGCGCUGAGGGUUUUUAAGGAGAAGGUGUCAAGUAAGGGGGAUUCCAGUCAAGUGUUGUGCACUGUGGGGAAGAUUUCAGCAAGGAGGUUUUGCUGUGGUAUACCUUGUUUCCAGCAACAGUUACUUCGUCCAACAGUAACUUUCCUGGCCUAUGG